AUUUCGUGAUAAGGGCAAUUUCAUAAUAAUUCUUUAUACCUUUCCCAUGCCUCAUACAAGGACUCAUCAUCCAUUUUUUAGAAAGCAGUGAUCUCAUUCCUUAACUU
Molecule: non-coding RNA, 107 nt
Organism: Gossypium hirsutum (cotton)
Lineage: Eukaryota; Viridiplantae; Streptophyta; Magnoliopsida; Malvales; Malvaceae
Source: Rfam